UAGGGAAUCUUCCGCAAUGGACGAAAGUCUGACGGAGCAACGCCGCGUGAGUGAAGAAGGAUUUCGGUUCGUAAAACUCUGUUGUUAGGGAAGAAAAAAUGUAUAGUAACUAUAUACAAAAGAGACGGUACCUAACCAGAAAGCCACGGCUAACUACGUGCCAGCAGCCGCGGUAAUACGUAGGUGGCAAGCGUUUCCCGGAAUUAUUGGGCGUAAAGCGCGCGCAGGUGGUUUAGAAAGUCUGAUGUGAAAGCCCACGGCUCAACCGUGGAGGGUCAUUGGAAACUAAUAAACUUGAGUGCAGGGGAGAAAAGUGGAAUUCCUAGUGUAGCGGUGAAAUGCGUAGAGAUUAGGAGGAACACCGGUGGCGAAGGCGGCUUUUUGGCCUGCAACUGACACUGAGGCGCGAAAGCGUGGGGAGCAAACAGG
Molecule: ribosomal RNA, 429 nt
Filed under: Verrucomicrobiota bacterium
Lineage: Bacteria; Pseudomonadati; Verrucomicrobiota
Description: Verrucomicrobia bacterium partial 16S ribosomal RNA
Rfam family: Bacterial small subunit ribosomal RNA
Source: RNAcentral